UACUAAAGUUGUUGCGGUUAAAAAGCUCGUAGUUGGAUCUUGGAAUGUGUUCAAGCGGGUCAGCUUCUGGCUGUUCGCUGCUUGACGUGUUCUUCUAUUUGGUUUUGGUGCGGUGCGCUUAACUGCGUGUCGCUCCCGGCCGAAACGUUUACCUUGAAAAAAUUAGAGUGUUCAAAGCAGACCUGUUUGAGUCUGAAUAUUCGUGCAUGGAAUAAUGAAAUAUGAAUUCGGUUCUAUUUUGUUGGUUUUCGGAACUCGAGUUAAUGAUCAAGAGGGACAGACGGGGGCAUUCGUACUCUGCCGUUAGAGGUGAAAUUCUUGGAUCGGCGGAAGACGCGCAACAGCGAAAGCAUUUGCCAAGAAUGUUUUCUUUAAUCAAGAACGAUAGUCGGAGGUUCGAAGACGAUCAGAUACCGUCCUAGUUUCGACUGUAAACUAUGCCAGCUAACGAUCAGACAGAGUUCUCUACGACUUGUCUGGCAGUUUCCGGGAAACCAAAGCGUAUGGGUUCCGGGGGAAGUAUGGUUGCAAAGCUGAAACUUAAAGG
Molecule: ribosomal RNA, 547 nt
Filed under: uncultured metazoan
Lineage: Eukaryota; Metazoa
Description: SSU rRNA
Rfam family: Eukaryotic small subunit ribosomal RNA
Source: RNAcentral